This 885-nucleotide long non-coding RNA is filed under the name Salmo trutta (river trout). Its description in RNAcentral is "lncRNA (ENSSTUG00000028957.1)". Lineage: Eukaryota; Metazoa; Chordata; Actinopteri; Salmoniformes; Salmonidae. The record is from RNAcentral.
GUUUACUGGGGUUUAGUCGUCGUUCUAUUUGUCUGUGUGUUUACUGGGGUUUAGUCGUCGUUCUAUUUGUCUGUGUGUUUACUGGGGUUUAGUCGUCGUUCUAUUUGUCUGUGUGUUUACUGGGGUUUAGUCGUUCCAUUUGUCUGUGUGUUUACUGGGGUUUAGUCGUUCUAUUUGUCUGUGUGUUUAUUGGGGUUUAGUCGUUCCAUUUGUCUGUGUGUUUACUGGGGUUUAGUCGUUCCAUUUGUCUGUGUGUUUAUUGGGGUUUAGUUGUUCCAUUUGUCUGUGUUUACUGGGGUUUAGUCGUUCCAUUUGUCUGUGUGUUUACUGGGGUUUAGUCGUUCCAUUUGUCUGUGUGUUUAUUGGGGUUUAGUUGUUCCAUUUGUCUGUGUUUACUGGGGUUUAGUCGUGUUUCCAUUUGUCUGUGUGUUUACUGGGGUUUAGUCGUCCUUCUAUUUGUCUGUGUGUUUACUGGGGUUUAGUCGUUCCAUUUGUCUGUGUGUUUACUGGGGUUUAGUCGUCCUUCUAUUUGUCUGUGUGUUUACUGGGGUUUAGUCGUUCCAUUUGUCUGUGUGUUUACUGGGGUUUAGUCGUGUUUCCAUUUGUCUGUGUGUUUACUGGGGUUUAGUCGUGUUUCCAUUUGUCUGUGUGUUUACUGGGGUUUAGUCGUUCCAUUUGUCUGUGUUUACUGGGGUUUAGUCGUGUUUCCAUUUGUCUGUGUGUUUACUGGGGUUUAGUCGUUCCAUUUUGGUGUGUUUACAGGGGUUUAGUCGUUCCAUUUGUCUGUGUGUUUAUUGGGGUUUAGUCGUUCCAUUUGUCUGUGUUUACUGGGGUUUAGUCGUUCCAUUAGUCUGUGUGUUUAUUGGGGUUUAGUCGUCUACUCCA